GUUUUCUGUAGUGUAGUGGUUAUCACGUUCGCUUUACCACGCGAAAGGUCCCCUGUUCGAAACCGGGCAGAAACA
This 75-nucleotide transfer RNA is filed under the name Merluccius polli (Benguela hake). RNAcentral's name for it is "tRNA-OTHER". It matches the Rfam family "tRNA". From Rfam's summary of the family: Transfer RNA (tRNA) molecules are approximately 80 nucleotides in length. Their secondary structure includes four short double-helical elements and three loops (D, anti-codon, and T loops). Further hydrogen bonds mediate the characteristic L-shaped molecular structure. tRNAs have two regions of fundamental functional importance: the anti-codon, which is responsible for specific mRNA codon recognition, and the 3' end, to which the tRNAs corresponding amino acid is attached (by aminoacyl-tRNA synthetases). tRNAs cope with the degeneracy of the genetic code in two manners: having more than one tRNA (with a specific anti-codon) for a particular amino acid; and 'wobble' base-pairing, i.e. permitting non-standard base-pairing at the 3rd anti-codon position. The record is from RNAcentral. Lineage: Eukaryota; Metazoa; Chordata; Actinopteri; Gadiformes; Merlucciidae.